This 425-nucleotide ribosomal RNA is filed under the name uncultured bacterium. RNAcentral describes it as "bacterial SSU rRNA". It matches the Rfam family "Bacterial small subunit ribosomal RNA", at positions 354 to 796 of the family's 1533-position model. The record is from RNAcentral.
GUGGGGAAUCUUGCGCAAUGGGGGAAACCCUGACGCAGCGACGCCGCGUGGAGGAUGAAGGCCUUCGGGUUGUAAACUCCUUUUGCAGGGGAAAAUGGUGAUGGUACCCUGCGAAUAAGCCACGGCUAACUCUGUGCCAGCAGCCGCGGUAAGACAGAGGUGGCGAGCGUUGUUCGGAAUUACUGGGCUUAAAGGGCGAGUAGGCGUCCCGACAAGUCAGAUGUGGAAUCUUUCUGCUUAACGGGAAAAUUGCAUUUGAAACUGUCGGGAUUGAGUCAGUGAGGGGAGGGCGGAAUUCCUGGUGUAGCGGUGAAAUGCGUAGAUAUCAGGAGGAAGGCCUGUGGCGAAGGCGGCCCUCUGGUACUGUACUGACGCUGAGGCGCGAAAGCGUGGGUAGCAAACAGGAUUAGAAACCCUGGUAGUCC